Molecule: long non-coding RNA, 1437 nt
Filed under: Sus scrofa (pig)
Lineage: Eukaryota; Metazoa; Chordata; Mammalia; Artiodactyla; Suidae
Description: lncRNA (ENSSSCG00030029665.1)
Source: RNAcentral
AUGUUGUCCCUGGAAGGUGGUACAGAGGUGACAUUUUGUUAUUGUCCUGCACCCAUGAGUCGCAUGCAGAUACACUCUGCCCUGGAAGUGAAUCCACUCCUACGCUGGACAUCCCCAGGCUCAUUCUUCCAAUCAUCAGCCACGAGAGACACUGUGUCAAGAGAGACUUUAGGAUUUGCUUUAUCUAUCCAUUCCCUUAGCUCUUCUGUAGGAAUAUAUAUAUAUAUAUAUAUACACACUGACUCCCUUAUCAAUAAAGCUCAUUUUAAAAUACCUCUUUUUAUUUAUUUCUGUGGCUGCCCCCUGAGACCAGGGACGUUGUCUGGCCACAGUUUGAUCUCCCAAUGCAGCUCUUACCACAGCCACAGCAGGGACAAGGAGAGACUCUUAAACCAACCAGCCAUGAGGGAACUCCCUGAGAGCUUGCCUGAUGAGAACAAUCCACCCUGCUUAGUACAUCAGACCUGGUUUGGGUCAGGUCUCCAUUCGCUGGCGACUAACUGAAAAGUGAGGCUCAUUUCGAAAGGCAAGAAUGAAAAUUCCCUAAGCCUCUUUUGCGAUAAUAGCACAAGGAUUAGCCAAACUGUCCAAACUUAUGCCACUGAGUCCCCCAUUUAUUUAUCAGCACCACCCUCUUUCUCCACCUGCAUAAAUGCCCUCUGGUCAGGAACUUGAAAAUGGCCAGAUCACGAUCAAAAUCUGAUGCUGUGUGUGUCUUGGUCUCCGGCUCUGGAAGAAUACAAGGCACACCAAAGCCCAGUGAAUCCUUCAAUUAUUUUAAAAACACACUGCCACCCAAUGAGGCUGCCAAUCCACCUCCAAAUACUGAAGGGACACCUGUGCCCUCUGCCUGAACUAAGGCGUCUUGGAGGAGAGUCCCUGGGGCCCAGGACACACCUAAAAAUCCUCUGGGUGCUUGCUGCAUGUUUCACUCAAGACACCAUCGGCCCCAACUCUGAGCCUGCACGGUUUUGAGCCUUGGAGCUCUAACCUGUUAGAGGCUCAGAGCUGCACCUGGGGCCAGAAGGGACUCUGGCGCCCUCGUGUGGACAUCUGCUCUAACAGCCACUUAUCUUUCACUCUUCUCACUGGCUCAGCAGGCCCUCAUGCUGCAUUGGCCAUAGGCAAUAUGCAGGUUGGGUCUCCUCCCCUGGCUCGCAUGAGAUAUCAAGAGGUGCCCUUCUGAGUGGGCUAUUUCUCUCUGGAAGACUUCCAGAGCCCUGAGGUCAACCUAUGCCAUGCCUAGCUGUUUAAACACUCAGUUCCUGAGCCAUCAUGUCAUAUGCCAGACUUCUUCCUUUUUAUAUAUAUCUCUGCACUGAUCUCUUUAUGAAGAUGGGUGUAUAGGUAUGUAACGAUUGAUUUUUUUUAAUUUUCCACCUGUAAUUCUGUCAUUUUUACAAUAAAUUCAGGCCUCAUUUCUUUUUUUCUUUCUCU